Molecule: long non-coding RNA, 561 nt
Filed under: Zonotrichia albicollis (white-throated sparrow)
Lineage: Eukaryota; Metazoa; Chordata; Aves; Passeriformes; Passerellidae
Description: lncRNA (ENSZALG00000003877.1)
Source: RNAcentral
CUGCUCUAAAAAAGAAAUUGAAAAUUGACAUCUGUCUUCACCUGUCAUUUUUAUCUUUCUCCUAGAUAAUGGUUGCAGUGUUGGGGACCAUUUGUUCCAAGGAGAAGUGUGUUGAUCAUAGCUCUGCAUCUGCUGUUCCCAACACCACAGUCCCUGGAGCAGCUCUUCUUGGCCACCCAUUGCAGGAAGAGAAAAUCUUCUCUUCAGAAAUCUUACUUUGAUGUGUACUGGGAAAAAGUGAUUUUCUCAGAUGUAAGGAAACAGCAGAACCUGCACAUUGAGAUGAGUACUUUUUUUUCAGCAUCAAAUGAACAGUUCAGAUGUCAGACCACACCGAUUGCACUAGUGCUUGCUCCGGGAUCUUCCAUGCACCAUGAAUACAGGAUCAAGGAUUCAGAAUAUGUGCCUUGCUUAAUGGAGGAGAUUCUUCAGCUGCCCCAUGAGGAGAGCCAAACCUGAUGAGCUGUUCAAGGAGUAGAGAGAGCUUGCUGUCCAACGUGCUCUGUGGUUACCUGUGCUCCUGACAGGGUGGAGUAAGCCACUGGAAGUAGCUUUCCUGCA